GUGGUUAUUCUGACUUUGAGAUGUUUCUAUUAAGGAUUAUGAACUAAAUUCCCUAGAUACAAUGGGAAGAUGAAAUCUAUGAUGAAUCAUUUUAUUUAAUUUCUGUUUUUAUGCGAUAAAUGUUUUAUUCUUGUUCUCAAUUAUGUAUGCUUAUUUCUUGUUUUAAUAUUUCUGGGAUAUUAAUUCAUAUUUAAUGUGCUUAUUUCAGUGGAGUAAAAAUCCCUAUUUAAGAGUAGAUCUAACAUAAUUGAGUGGAGUUGCAUGCAAUCGUAGACAUAGGACGACAUAAAUCUACCUGAUUAGAGUCAAAUCUAAUA
This 317-nucleotide long non-coding RNA is filed under the name Gossypium barbadense (sea-island cotton). Its description in RNAcentral is "long non-coding RNA (GBAR_LNC022524)". Lineage: Eukaryota; Viridiplantae; Streptophyta; Magnoliopsida; Malvales; Malvaceae. The record is from RNAcentral.